RNAcentral lists this ribosomal RNA (492 nucleotides) under uncultured bacterium. Its description in RNAcentral is "partial 16S ribosomal RNA". It matches the Rfam family "Bacterial small subunit ribosomal RNA", at positions 28 to 507 of the family's 1533-position model. The record is from RNAcentral.
GAUGAACGCUAGCUACAGGCUUAACACAUGCAAGUCGAGGGGAAACGACAUCGAAAGCUUGCUUUUGAUGGGCGUCGACCGGCGCACGGGUGAGUAACGCGUAUCCAACCUGCCCAUCACUUGGGAAUAACCUUGCGAAAGUAAGACCAAUACCCAAUGACAUCCCACGAAGACAUCUGAAUGGGAUUAAAGAUUUAUCGGUGAUGGAUGGGGAUGCGUCUGAUUAGCUUGUUGGCGGGGUAACGGCCAACCAAGGCAACGAUCAGUAGGGGUUCUGAGAGGGAGGUCCCGCACAUUGGAACGGAGACACUGUCCAAACGCCUACGGGAGGCAGCAGUGGGGAAGAUUGGGCAAUGGACGUGAGCCUGAACCAGCCAAGUAGCGUGCAGGAGGCCGGCCCUAGGGGGUGUAAACUGCUUUUAUAAGGCAAUAAAGUGGGUCUCGUGAGACUUGUUGCAUGUACCUGAUGAAUAAGGACCGGCUAAUUCCGUG